GUUGGCUCGAGCUCCAUAUUCGAUUAUUAAAAAUCAUACUCAGGCCUGGGAGACGAGUAUUUACACAUCUGUCUGCUCAUCUGAAGACACGCUCGUCAAGAUGUGGCCCUCAUCACCGCACCGCUGCGUGGGAAGAGGGGCUCGGGGACCCCGAGUGCACGUUUGAUUUAAUGACAUCACCUUGGCCAAGAUUCAGAAAUUCAGAACUCUAACUUACCCUGAACUAUCUACAAACGAAAAUGGAAAGAUGAUUCUGUUUUGUGUCUCUGCCUCUGUGUACUCCAACUUCGGAUUCUUCAGAAUGAACAAAGAGUUUAAAGAGGCCACAAACCGCAGGCUUCUCUGCCAGAGAGAUUAUUAACACGAAGACAAGCUCCAUGCUAAAUACUGAGAAACCUAGCUGCUACUGUGGAGUGUGGUUACCUUGGAGAAACCUUGCUCUCAACUCAGGAUACUUCUAGUUAGAAAAAGAAUUAUGGUCCUGGCCAGAUUGACUUAGUGAUAAAAAUUCACAGUAAUAAAUAGAUCCCUUGAUUUUUCAAAAUGCACUUUGGAGCCAUC
Molecule: long non-coding RNA, 561 nt
Filed under: Chinchilla lanigera (long-tailed chinchilla)
Lineage: Eukaryota; Metazoa; Chordata; Mammalia; Rodentia; Chinchillidae
Description: lncRNA (ENSCLAG00000024113.1)
Source: RNAcentral